AUGGGUUUUACAGGCAAUAGUGGGUACUAUGCUCCUCUGUCAGCCCCUGUCUAUGUUCCUCCACACACUUACAACAGAAUUACAGGACAGUUUAUCAACACUACUACUCCAACCAGUCUAAUGCAGCCACAAGUGUACCAAGCUGCUGGUCAGUUGUAUAAUGCACAAAGAAAUCAACAUGCAACUCAGCUAGGAGGACCUUCCUAUUUUGCUGAAGCUACUUUGAGAGGACCUAGACUGGAAAUUCCACUAUUCAGUGGAGGGGACCCCAUUGGCUGGCUAGUUAAUUGUGAGAAAUUCUUUGAUAUGUCAGGUACACCAUAUGAUCAAUGGGUGAACCUAGCAACUGGUCAUCUGCAAGGCAGGGCAGCAAAUUGGUUAAAGAAUAUUUGUGUUCCUUGGCAAAUGAUUACUUGGCAGCAGUUUUGUAAUUUAGUUGCAGACAGGUUCUCUGAAGCAAAUGUCCAUGAGGCUGUCGAGCCACUGAAAAAUAUUCAGCAAAAGGGCAGCAUAGCAGAUUACACUGACAGUUUUGAACAGUGUGUUGCACUAGUGAAGAGAGACCAUCCCUGUCCGCAGGAAAACUUUCUGCUCAGCUGUUAUAUUGGAGGCCUUAAAGCAGAUAUCAAACAUGAUGUGUGUGGUCACAAACCCAUUGGCAUGAUAGAGGCAUACUGGUACUCCAAGAUCUACGAAAAAGCAGCAGCUGCCAAAAGAACUACCUCUGGACAGUAUAAUCAGCCCUUCAAAAAUAAUUUUCCACUGGCUCCACUCCCACAGCAGGUACAACAGGAAAAACCUAACAAUCCUCUUCCAAAUGCCAAAGCUUGCUGGUACUGUAGAGAGCCUUGGUCUAGACAACAUAAAUGCAAAAUUAGCAAAACACUACACAUAUUGCAAGAAGUAGAAGAUGACACUGAAAUAGAACUUAGUACCGAGGACAUACAAUCUCCUGAGAAAGCCUUUCAUACUGCUCCUAACACACCUGAGCAGGACCAAACUAAGUAG
RNAcentral lists this ribosomal RNA (1008 nucleotides) under Triticum aestivum (bread wheat). Its description in RNAcentral is "partial small subunit ribosomal RNA". The record is from RNAcentral. Lineage: Eukaryota; Viridiplantae; Streptophyta; Magnoliopsida; Poales; Poaceae.